This 253-nucleotide ribosomal RNA is filed under the name uncultured bacterium. RNAcentral's name for it is "partial 16S ribosomal RNA". It matches the Rfam family "Bacterial small subunit ribosomal RNA", at positions 524 to 776 of the family's 1533-position model. The record is from RNAcentral.
UACGAAGGGGGCUAGCGUUGCUCGGAAUCACUGGGCGUAAAGCGCACGUAGGCGGACUCUUAAGUCAGUGGUGAAAUCCUGGAGCUCAACUCCAGAACUGCCUUUGAUACUGGGAGUCUUGAGUUCGGGAGAGGUGAGUGGAACUGCGAGUGUAGAGGUGAAAUUCGUAGAUAUUCGCAAGAACACCAGUGGCGAAGGCGGCUCACUGGCCCGAUACUGACGCUGAGGUGCGAAAGCGUGGGGAGCGAACAGG